UUUCCGUAGGUGAACCUGCGGAAGGAUCAUUGCGAAACGUUGAGAGAAGAAUGUUGGAAUGAGGGGAGAGAUGCAUGUGACAACAAUAACGUAACUUAUAACUAGCCACCUUGGAUCUCUGGGCUCUU
This 128-nucleotide unclassified non-coding RNA is filed under the name soil metagenome. RNAcentral's name for it is "partial contains small subunit ribosomal RNA and internal transcribed spacer 1". The record is from RNAcentral.